RNAcentral lists this long non-coding RNA (2282 nucleotides) under Sus scrofa (pig). RNAcentral's name for it is "lncRNA (ENSSSCG00060009165.1)". The record is from RNAcentral. Lineage: Eukaryota; Metazoa; Chordata; Mammalia; Artiodactyla; Suidae.
GGGACCCGGAAGUGGGGGGCUGCGGCGGGAGGUGAGGGCCGCCUGCCUGGCCGGACCCCAGGGGUGUCGGACGGUGGGCAGGGCCUCCUGGGAUCCCUGAGGCGCCGGCAGGAGGAGACGCCCUGGGGUCGGUGCCGCCACCUUCCCGUCCGGGCGGUUACAGCUUUCCCGCGUUCGCUGUCAGAGGCAGGGACCGGCGACCUCGGGGGCCUGGUCCCUGAGCCACAGCAGGGAGUCGUCCGAGCAUCUCGGGAUGAGGAAGUGUGCAAACAUUUGCAGUCCCUCUGCUGAUGAUCCUGGGUUUGGUUUGGCUGGGCUUGAGCAAAUGAGAAGGAACCAGGACGGAGCCUGUGACUGACUACAGCAGGAGAGCAGGCGUGGCAUGGAUCCCGUGCAAGCCGGCAGUGGAGACCCAGCGCCUGAGAGUGACGUGGGGAACUAGCAGGAGCUAGAAGUGACUUAGGCCGAGCUUUUGUAAAGCGGAGGUGUGAGUGUAAUAUCAGGAUGAUUUGACUGCAAGCAACAGAGAAUCAAACAGAAAUGGCCUAGGGAGUCCCUUCGUGGCUCCCCAGUUAACAAUCUGACUGGAUCAUGAGGAUGCAGGUUCAAUCCCCGGCCUCUAUCAGUGGGCGAAGGAUCUAGUGCUACCAUGAGCUGUGCUGUGGUGUAGGCUGGCGGCCGCAGCUCCAGUUGGACCCCUAGCCCGGGAACUUCCAUAUGCUGUGGGUGCAGCCCUAAAAAGCAAAAACAAACAAAAAAAAUGAAACAAAACAAAACAAAAAAUCCACAAAAAAAAUCAGAAAUGGCCUAAACAAAGAAGAAAACAUGUUAUCCCAUACUACAAGAAGUUUGGGGGUUGAGUGGUUAAACGCAUGAUUAGUUUAGAAACUUGACAGCACCACCCAGGACCCAUUUUCCCUAAGGCGCUGCUGCCCCCCACCCUGUAGGCUUAGCCACCGCAGCAAAGACACCCCCCUUCCCCAACCAGAGCCCUGCGUCAGGACUGGAAAGGGCCUCCUUCCUUCCAUCCCCUUCCAGAACCUCCGCAGAAGACUCCCCUUGACGUCUCAUUCCAUCCCAUACUGGUCACUUGGCAGGGGGAACGGAUUUACCACGGUGGCCAGAGACAAAUUAAGUCGCCUCUGGAUCAUGAAGAGCCCCCAUCUCUGGAGAACACUUGACCACUCAGUACCCAGCAACUCGGGUACCCCUGGCAAGAAAGAGACAGGUGAUACCCACUGGGUCCUGUCCACAGCGCCUGCCCCCAGCAACCUGUCUACCUGGAAAACUGAGGGGGUGCCACGCGGGUCUGUGUCUUCUCUGUAGUUUGCCCGAGUCUUUCCCAUUAGGUAAGUGUCGCCCUUUUCCCUCUUUGCGGCUUUCCUCCUUGGCACGUCACCCAGGUUUUGUUCAGCCACAAGGGGCGAUAGGCUGAAAGAGGAAUCUCCAGGCCUAGGUGAUGGGCCAGCCGUGGUGAUCCUCACCCGUUUGCCUGGGCACCGUUUGGGAAACGUCCCCCUGCUCACCACGGAGAUGAAAGACCAGGUCCCUGGAGGGGCUUCGCGGAAGGAUUUUUCUCCCCAGUAAAGCGGCAGACCAGCCAAGGGUCCGCCGCCCUACGCGCCGUCUGCCUCUGAGCCGCCGCCAGCUCACACCCUUGAGCAGAAACGUUGCAGGGAGGCAGAAAGGGCCGAGUCUCAUGGAUUGUGCUGAGCGUUGCAUCCACCCAGGACUGCUUACCUUCAGACUUCUGCUCCGGUGGCAGAGCAGCAAACCCCUAUUGUGUAAGCCUUUGUAGAUGGCUGGUGCCACUUGCUGCUGAAAGUGACAGAUAAUCUUUCUAGGAAUAUAACCCCUAAAGCCCUUUAUGGUAACAGAUGCACUUAGAGAAUGUAGUUUUCUUUCUUUUUCUUACUUAAAAAAAAAAAAAGCUGAAGUCUGCCUCAGGCAAAAAGACAAACUGAAAACAUAUGUAUGCAUAAUUGAAGUGCAAUCAAUAUUCAUUAGAAAAUGAACGAAUGUUCUUCAGGUUACUUUAAUAGUUUUCUCAGGGAAUCUGUUUUUGGAUACGUAUGUCAGCUACAAUAUUUGGCACUUCCAGGAGCUCUGUGUUGAUGUCCUUCCUAGAAGUUGCACUUCUGCGCAUUUUUCUGCGCCUUUGGGGUCUCAGAUGUUCCUGGAAGGAAUCACUUUUCACUCCCCUGGCUUUUCCCUCGAACAGGUAACUUGUAACUUGCUGUUGCCUAUAGAUAUCGAGCAUUUGUCCAAAAAUAUGUUCCUAC